CUUCACUUCUCUAAACAGUUGAGAGGUUUCGAAUUUGUGAAAGCUGUCACCUUGGUGGUCGAGUCAUUUACGUCAGAGAACGGCUUGCUAACUCCAACAUUUAAGAUAAAGGGGCCCCAAUCAAAGGCUUACUUCGCCAAAGCAGUAUCCGACAUAUAUACCGAGCUUUCAACAUCUGUUCUGACACUACAGAGGAUGUUAUGACCAGAACCUGGAAUGCUCCAAAGUACGUAAGCCUCCACUGCUAGUGGAUUUUCAUUGUCUAGUUUGUAACGGCCUAAUGUGCAAUGACUUCCUCUUAUUGUUGUGCAUUUUCCUUGAAAAUAUUUGAUUCAUUCAUUCAAUUUUCUGCUCCAGAAAUUGAAAUGUCGUGAAAUAAUUUAUCGGCGCAACCAAUAUCUCAUGGAGAAGUAUCGUUACCUUAGCACAAUAAAGAACACAGUAAGAUGUAGCAAAUUAUCUGCCAGCUUAGAGAGACAUAACUGUUACUUGCAAGUUGUAGCUGUCAGUGAAGUAAAAGAGUCCUGGCAUGGAAAUGGCUUGCGCAGGCCGACAUGCUUAUCAAGACAAGUUGGUCGUGGCAAGGUUCAUCUUUUAUUUCUAUGCUGUCAUAUACUGAAAAGUUUGUAAGACAAAAAUAAAAAAUUUCACCUAAAAGAGUGGAUUUGAUAUGAGAGGUAAAGGUUCAGGGACAGAAUAUGUUAUCCUAUUUCAGGGAUAUGGUUGUAUAAAAUAAUGAUGAAUUUUUUCUUUUACAAUGGACCGCUGUCCUUGGGGAUAUUGAUUAAUGAUUUGUAACAUUUUCUUGUAGGCUUAAAAAAAGGUUCUUUCUUAUA
This is a long non-coding RNA of Olea europaea var. sylvestris, 836 nucleotides long. RefSeq lists it as uncharacterized. Lineage: Eukaryota; Viridiplantae; Streptophyta; Magnoliopsida; Lamiales; Oleaceae. The record is from RefSeq and is a predicted model, not a curated record. The transcript is spliced from 2 exons.